RNAcentral lists this ribosomal RNA (936 nucleotides) under uncultured archaeon. RNAcentral describes it as "bacterial SSU rRNA". It matches the Rfam family "Archaeal small subunit ribosomal RNA", at positions 1 to 918 of the family's 1478-position model. The record is from RNAcentral.
UUCCGGUUGAUCCUGCCGGACCUUACUGCUAUCGGGAUGAGAUUAAGCCAUGCAAGUCGUGCGUUCUUAAGCUAUGUUGAGAGCGCGGCGAACUGCUCCGUAACACGUAGUUAACCUAACCUUGGGAUGGGGAUAACCCCGGGAAACUGGGAUUAAUACCCAAUAGAUGAUUAUACCUGGAAUGGCUUAUCAUCGAAAGAGUCUGGGAACAUGCUUCCAGCGUCGCCCAAGGAUGGGACUGCGUCCGAUCAGGUUGUUGGUGGGGUAACGGCUCACCAAGCCUAUAACCGGUACGGGCCCUGAGAGGGGGAGCCCGGAGAUGGAAACUGAGAAAAUGUUCCAGGCCCUACGGGGUGCAGCAGGCGCGAAACCUCCACAAUGCGCGAAAGCGUGAUGGGGUUAUCCCGAGUGCCGUCCGAUGAGGAUGGCUUUUCAUCGGUGUAAGGAUCCGAUGGAAUAAAGGGGGGGCAAGACUGGUGUCAGCCGCCGCGGUAAUACCAGCCCCCUGAGUGGUAGGGACGGUUAUUUGGCCUAAAGCGUUCGUAGCCGGCUUAUCAGGUCUUUUGUUAAAUCCAGCGAUUCAAUCGUUGGGCCGCAAAAGAUACUGUUAUGCUAGAGGACGGGAGAGGUCGACGGUAGUCCAGGGGUAGGGGUGAAAUCCUAUAAUCCUUGGAGGACCACCAGUGGCGAAGGCGGUCGACUAGAACGUGCCUGACGGUGAGGGACGAAAGCUGGGGGAGCGAACCGGAUUAGAUACCCGGGUAGUCCCAGCCGUAAACGAUGCGGGCUAGGUGUUGGGGCAGCCACGAGCUGCUCCAGUGCCGCAGAGAAGUUGUUAAGCCUGCCGCCUGGGGGAGUACGGCGCAAGGCUGAAACUUAAAGGAAUUGGCGGGGAGCACACAAGGGGUGAAGGCUGCGGUUUAAUUGACUCAACGC